UACGUAGGGGGCAAGCGUUGUCCGGAAUCAUUGGGCGUAAAGCGCGUGUAGGCGGCCUGGAAAGUCUGGUGUGAAAUCCUGCGGCUCAACCGCAGACUGUCACUGGAUACUGUCAGGCUUGAAUCCGGAAGAGGAGUGUGGAAUUCCUGGUGUAGCGGUGGAAUGCGCAGAUAUCAGGAGGAACACCAAUGGCGAAGGCAGCACUCUGGUACGUGAUUGACGCUGAGACGCGAAAGCGUGGGGAGCAAACAGG
This 253-nucleotide ribosomal RNA is filed under the name uncultured bacterium. Its description in RNAcentral is "partial 16S ribosomal RNA". It matches the Rfam family "Bacterial small subunit ribosomal RNA", at positions 524 to 776 of the family's 1533-position model. The record is from RNAcentral.